CACGUAGUUAGCCGGGGCUUAUUCCUUUGGUACCGUCAUUUAUUCGUUCCAAAGAAAAGAGCUUUACAAUAAAAUUACCUUCAUCACCCACGCGGCAUUGCUGGGUCAGAGUUGCCUCCAUUGCCCAAUAUUCCCCACUGCUGCCUCCCGUAGGAGUCUGGGCCGUGUUUCAGUCCCAAUGUGGCCGAUCAGCCUCUCAGCUCGGCUACCCAUCGUAGGCUUGGUGGGCUGUUAUCUCACCAACUACCUAAUGGGAUAUGAGCCCAUCUCUAUCCGAUAAAAUCUUUUUACCGCUGCACGAUGCCGUGCUGUGGUCAUAUACCGUAUUACCAGUCGUUUCCAACUGCUAUCCCGUUGAUAGAGGCAGGUUGCUCAUACAUUACUCACCCGUUCGCCACUAAACUUUCAUCCCGAAGGAAUCAGUCCGUUCGACUUGCAUGUGUUAAGCUAUGCCGCCAGCGUUCUCUCGUAGCCAGAUACAAAUACUCUGUAGACUACG
Molecule: ribosomal RNA, 499 nt
Filed under: uncultured Clostridia bacterium
Lineage: Bacteria; Bacillati; Bacillota; Clostridia
Description: partial 16S ribosomal RNA
Source: RNAcentral